This 482-nucleotide ribosomal RNA is filed under the name uncultured bacterium. Its description in RNAcentral is "partial 16S ribosomal RNA". It matches the Rfam family "Bacterial small subunit ribosomal RNA", at positions 30 to 507 of the family's 1533-position model. The record is from RNAcentral.
AUUGAACGCUGGCGGCAUGCUUUACACAUGCAAGUCGAACGGAAACACGCCGCGAUUUCCUGACGAGUGUCGAACGGGGGCGUAAUGCAACCGCGCGGGUCCCCUCCCUGUGGGUAAGUACUCAAUAGAGUAACCCAUACCUCAUACGAGAUAAGGUUUAGAGCGGGGGGCCUUAAGGGUACACGCCGUUCUUGCGGUCGAUGUCAGAUUAGUUAGUUGGUGGGGUAAAGGCUUACCAAGCCAACGAUCUGUAGCUGGUCUGAGAGGACAACCAGCCACACUGGAACUGAGACACGGCCCAGACUCCUACGGGAGGCAGCAGUGGGGAAUCUUUGGCAAUGGGCGAAAGCCUGACGCAGCAACGCCGCGUGAAUGAAGAAGGUCUUCGGGUUGUAAACCGCUUUUGUAAGGAAAGAACAGACUUUGGUUAAUACGCGCAGAUAAUGACGGUACCGUAAGAAUAAGCAACGGCUAACUACGUG